This 419-nucleotide long non-coding RNA is filed under the name Trifolium pratense (red clover). RNAcentral's name for it is "long non-coding RNA (TPRA_LNC011647)". The record is from RNAcentral. Lineage: Eukaryota; Viridiplantae; Streptophyta; Magnoliopsida; Fabales; Fabaceae.
AUGUGAGAGUUUCUCUUUAUAUGCAAAUGUGAGACUUCUUAUGAGUGCAGUAAUAUAAAUUUUAGACUAUCACUUAUAUUAAGAAAAUAAAAUUGAUCACUUUGAACAUAAUUCGAUUGGUAGAUAUAUUGUAAGAUGCAUGAGUCAGAAUUCCAAUAUAAAAUUCUCCACUUAUUUUUUUUAAUGGCUGAAAUUCUAACAUUUUUUUUUUUGUCAAGAAAUUCUCCACUAAUAUUUGACAAAACUAAAUAUAACGAGAAUUACACUUACGAAAACUUUUAGGUUAAAAAAUGCAUUUAUUUACAUAAGUUUCCGGCCACUUUUGUUUAAUGAUUUUAUCUAACCACAAGUAAAAUAAUUGUAUCAUGCACACGUUCUUUUUUUCCAUAAUUAAAUCAAUAAAUCUCUUUUCAAAAAAA